This 40-nucleotide ribosomal RNA is filed under the name Russula umerensis. RNAcentral's name for it is "partial 18S ribosomal RNA". RNAcentral also lists the same sequence under 1 other name. Lineage: Eukaryota; Fungi; Basidiomycota; Agaricomycetes; Russulales; Russulaceae. The record is from RNAcentral.
UAACAAGGUUUCUGUAGGUGAACCUGCGGAAGGAUCAUUA